Molecule: ribosomal RNA, 270 nt
Filed under: uncultured bacterium
Lineage: Bacteria
Description: partial 16S ribosomal RNA
Rfam family: Bacterial small subunit ribosomal RNA
Source: RNAcentral
UUAGAGAGCUUGCUUUUUAAGCUUAGUGGCGAACGGGUGAGUAACGCGUGAGCAACCUGCCUUUCAGAGGGGGAUAACAUUUGGAAACAGAUGCUAAUACCGCAUAAGAUUACAGUACCGCAUGAUACAGUGAUCAAAGGAGCAAUCCGCUGAAAGAUGGGCUCGCGUCCGAUUAGAUAGUUGGUGAGGUAACGGCUCACCAAGGCAACGAUACAUAGGGGGACUGAGAGGUUAACCCCCACAUUGGUACUGAGACACGGCCCAGACUCC